UACGUAGGGUGCAAGCGUUGUCCGGAAUUAUUGGGCGUAAAGAGCUCGUAGGCGGUUUGUUGCGUCGGCUGUGAAAUCCCGAGGCUCAACCUCGGGUCUGCAGUCGAUACGAGCAAACUAGAGUGUUGCAGGGGAGACUGGAAUUCCUGGUGUAGCGGUGAAAUGCGCAGAUAUCAGGAGGAACACCGGUGGCGAAGGCGGGUCUCUGGGCAACAACUGACGCAGAGGAGCGAAAGCGUGGGGAGCGAACAGG
Molecule: ribosomal RNA, 253 nt
Filed under: uncultured bacterium
Lineage: Bacteria
Description: partial 16S ribosomal RNA
Rfam family: Bacterial small subunit ribosomal RNA
Source: RNAcentral